AUUGAACGCUGGCGGCAGGCCUAACACAUGCAAGUCGAACGGUAACAGGGAGCAGCUUGCUGCUCUGCUGACGAGUGGCGGACGGGUGAGUAAUGUCUGGGAAACUGCCUGAUGGAGGGGGAUAACUACUGGAAACGGUAGCUAAUACCGCAUAACGUCUUCGGACCAAAGUGGGGGACCUUCGGGCCUCAUGCCAUCAGAUGUGCCCAGAUGGGAUUAGCUAGUAGGUGGGGUAACGGCUCACCUAGGCGACGAUCCCUAGCUGGUCUGAGAGGAUGACCAGCCACACUGGAACUGAGACACGGUCCAGACUCCUACGGGAGGCAGCAGUGGGGAAUAUUGCACAAUGGGCGCAAGCCUGAUGCAGCCAUGCCGCGUGUAUGAAGAAGGCCUUCGGGUUGUAAAGUACUUUCAGCGGGGAGGAAGGUGYUGUGGUUAAUAACCRCAGCAAUUGACGUUACCCGCAGAAGAAGCACCGGCUAACUCC
Molecule: ribosomal RNA, 487 nt
Filed under: Cronobacter sp. cc208
Lineage: Bacteria; Pseudomonadati; Pseudomonadota; Gammaproteobacteria; Enterobacterales; Enterobacteriaceae
Description: bacterial SSU rRNA
Rfam family: Bacterial small subunit ribosomal RNA
Source: RNAcentral